GAUGAACGCUGGCGGCGUGCCUAAUACAUGCAAGUCGAGCGAACAGACGAGGAGCUUGCUCCUCUGACGUUAGCGGCGGACGGGUGAGUAACACGUGGAUAACCUACCUAUAAGACGGGGAUAACUUCGGGAAGCCGGAGCUAAUACCGGAUAAUAUAUUGAACCGCAUGGUUCAAUAGUGAAAGACGGUUUUGCUGUCACUUAUAGAUGGAUCCGCGCCGCAUUAGCUAGUUGGUAAGGUAACGGCUUACCAAGGCGACGAUGCGUAGCCGACCUGAGAGGGUGAUCGGCCACACUGGAACUGAGACACGGUCCAGACUCCUACGGGAGGCAGCAGUAGGGAAUCUUCGCAAUGGGCGAAAGCCUGACGGAGCAACGCCGCGUGAGUGAUGAAGGUCUUCGGAUCGUAAAACUCUGUUAUUAGGGAAGAACAAAUGUGUAAGUAACUAUGCACGUCUUGACGGUACCUAAUCAGAAAGCCACGGCUAACUACGUG
Molecule: ribosomal RNA, 496 nt
Filed under: uncultured bacterium
Lineage: Bacteria
Description: partial 16S ribosomal RNA
Rfam family: Bacterial small subunit ribosomal RNA
Source: RNAcentral